Molecule: ribosomal RNA, 440 nt
Filed under: uncultured bacterium
Lineage: Bacteria
Description: partial 16S ribosomal RNA
Rfam family: Bacterial small subunit ribosomal RNA
Source: RNAcentral
CCUACGGGAGGCAGCAGUGGGGAAUAUUGCACAAUGGGGGAAACCCUGAUGCAGCGACGCCGCGUGAGCGAUGAAGUAUUUCGGUAUGUAAAGCUCUAUCAGCAGGGAAGAAAAUGACGGUACCUGACUAAGAAGCCCCGGCUAACUACGUGCCAGCAGCCGCGGUAAUACGUAGGGGGCAAGCGUUAUCCGGAUUUACUGGGUGUAAAGGGAGCGCAGACGGCGGUGCAAGCCGGAAGUGAAAGCCCGGGGCCCAACCCCGGGACUGCGAGGGAAACUGUGCGGCUAGAGUGAGGGAGGGGCAGGUGGAAGGACGAGGGUAGGGGUGAGAGGAGGAGAGAUGAGGAGGAACAACAGGGGAGAAGGCGGCCGGCUGGACAGUAACGGACGUUGAGGCGCGAAAGCGUGGGGAGCAAACAGGAGUAGAGACCCGAGGAGGC